This 210-nucleotide ribosomal RNA is filed under the name uncultured bacterium. Its description in RNAcentral is "partial 16S ribosomal RNA". It matches the Rfam family "Bacterial small subunit ribosomal RNA", at positions 1283 to 1500 of the family's 1533-position model. The record is from RNAcentral.
CUGUCUCAGUUCGGAUCGGAGUCUGCAACCCGACUCCGUGAAGCUGGAUUCGCUAGUAAUCGCGCAUCAGCCAUGGCGCGGUGAAUACGUUCCCGGGCCUUGUACACACCGCCCGUCAAGCCAUGGAAGCCGGGAGUGCCUGAAGUAUGCAACCGCAAGGAGCGUCCUAAGGUAAAACCGGUGACUGGGGCUAAGUCGUAACAAGGUAUC